GNAAUUAUUGGGCGUAAAGAGCUUGUAGGCGGUUGGUCGCNUCUGCUGUGAAAGGCUGGGGCUUAACCCUGGUUUUGCAGAGGGUACGGGCUAACUAGAGUGCAGUAGGGGAGACUGGAAUUCCUGGUGUAGCGGUGGAAUGCGCAGACAUCAGGAGGAACACCGAUGGCGAAGGCAGGUCUCUGGGCUGUAACUGACGCUGAGAAGCGAAAGCAUGGGGAGCGAACAGGAUUAGAUACCCUGGUAGUCCAUGCCGUAAACGUUGGGCACUAGGUGUGGGGGACAUUCCACGUUUUCCGCGCCGUAGCUAACGCAUUAAGUGCCCCGCCUGGGGAGUACGGCCGCAAGGCUAAAACUCAAAGAAAUUGACGGGGGCCCGCACAAGCGGCGGAGCAUGCGGAUUAAUUCGAUGCAACGCGAAGAACCUCACCAAGGCUUGACAUAUACUGGACUGCGUCAGAGAUGGCGUUUCCCUUCGGGGCUGGUAUACAGGUGGUGCAUGGUUGUCGUCAGCUCGUGUCGUGAGAUGUUGGGUUAAGUCCCGCAACGAGCGCAACCCUCGUUCUAUGUUGCCAGCACGUGAUGGUGGGGACUCAUAGGAGACUGCCGGGGUCAACUCGGAGGAAGGUGGGGAUGACGUCAAAUCAUCAUGCCCCUUAUGUCUUGGGCUUCACGCAUGCUACAGUGGCCGGUACAGAGGGUUGCGAUACUGUGAGGUGGAGCUAAUCCCUAAAAGCCGGUCUCAGUUCGGAUUGGGGUCUGCAACUCGACCCCAUGAAGUCGGAGUCGCUAGUAAUCGCAGAUCAGCUACGCUGCGGUGAAUACGUUCCCGGGCCUUGUACACACCGCCCGUCAAGUCACGAAAGUUGGUAACACCCGAAGCCGGUGGCCUAACCCCGGUGG
RNAcentral lists this ribosomal RNA (903 nucleotides) under uncultured bacterium. RNAcentral's name for it is "bacterial SSU rRNA". It matches the Rfam family "Bacterial small subunit ribosomal RNA", at positions 547 to 1449 of the family's 1533-position model. The record is from RNAcentral.